Molecule: ribosomal RNA, 237 nt
Filed under: uncultured bacterium
Lineage: Bacteria
Description: partial 16S ribosomal RNA
Rfam family: Bacterial small subunit ribosomal RNA
Source: RNAcentral
CCGGCACGGGUGAGUAACACGUAUCCAACCUGCCGUCUACUCUUGGACAGCCUUCUGAAAGGAAGAUUAAUACAAGAUGGCAUCAUGAGUUCACAUGUUCACAUGAUUAAAGGUAUUCCGGUAGACGAUGGGGAUGCGUUCCAUUAGAUAGUAGGCGGGGUAACGGCCCACCUAGUCUUCGAUGGAUAGGGGUUCUGAGAGGAGGGUCCCCCACAUUGGAACUGAGACACGGUCCAA